This 102-nucleotide non-coding RNA is filed under the name Aneurinibacillus migulanus. Its description in RNAcentral is "Guanine sequence". It matches the Rfam family "Purine riboswitch aptamer". Rfam says of the family: Riboswitches are metabolite binding domains within certain messenger RNAs that serve as precision sensors for their corresponding targets. Allosteric rearrangement of mRNA structure is mediated by ligand binding, and this results in modulation of gene expression. A class of riboswitches that selectively recognises guanine and becomes saturated at concentrations as low as 5 nM. The record is from Rfam by way of RNAcentral. Lineage: Bacteria; Bacillati; Bacillota; Bacilli; Caryophanales; Paenibacillaceae.
CAAAAUUAUAUAAAGAUUGCUCGUAUAACCUCAACAAUAUGGAUUGGGGGUUUCUACUGGAAGCCACAAACUUUCCUAGCUACGAGAAAAAGCCGCUUUAUG